CCCAGAUGGCAUGGUUUUGAUAGGUGAAUGUGACCUCUCGGAGUGAGCAAUUAGCGUGAGCCGCCCUUGCAAUUUCUGGAGGACCCAUCUAACAGGGUGGGAAGUACCGUGCUUGAGACAGCUCAAGGUGGAAAGAGGAACUAGAACUUAGAGGUUUUCAAGCUGUUGGAAGUUGAACGGACUGAUUCAGACUUCUCCUACCCUUUCUUUCCACCUUGGAUGAAAGUGGCCACUGGGCUGAGGAGUUUUUGAGCA
Molecule: long non-coding RNA, 255 nt
Organism: Egretta garzetta (little egret)
Lineage: Eukaryota; Metazoa; Chordata; Aves; Pelecaniformes; Ardeidae
Exons: 3
Source: RefSeq, a predicted model, not a curated record